AUUGAACGCUGGCGGCAGGCCUAACACAUGCAAGUCGAGCGGAUGAAGGGAGCUUGCUCCUGGAUUCAGCGGCGGACGGGUGAGUAAUGCCUAGGAAUCUGCCUGGUAGUGGGGGAUAACGUCCGGAAACGGGCGCUAAUACCGCAUACGUCCUGAGGGAGAAAGUGGGGGAUCUUCGGACCUCACGCUAUCAGAUGAGCCUAGGUCGGAUUAGCUAGUUGGUGGGGUAAAGGCCUACCAAGGCGACGAUCCGUAACUGGUCUGAGGAUGAUCAGUCACACUGGAACUGAGACACGGUCCAGACUCCUACGGGAGGCAGCAGUGGGGAAUAUUGGACAAUGGGCGAAAGCCUGAUCCAGCCAUGCCGCGUGUGUGAAGAAGGUCUUCGGAUUGUAAAGCACUUUAAGUUGGGAGGAAGGGCAGUAAGUUAAUACCUUGCUGUUUUGACGUUACCAACAGAAUAAGCACCGGCUAACUUCGUG
This 482-nucleotide ribosomal RNA is filed under the name uncultured bacterium. RNAcentral describes it as "partial 16S ribosomal RNA". It matches the Rfam family "Bacterial small subunit ribosomal RNA", at positions 30 to 507 of the family's 1533-position model. The record is from RNAcentral.